This 228-nucleotide long non-coding RNA is filed under the name Vicia faba (fava bean). Lineage: Eukaryota; Viridiplantae; Streptophyta; Magnoliopsida; Fabales; Fabaceae. The record is from RNAcentral.
AUGGAGAGAAAUGGAUUGGGACCGGACCGACGAUCAUAUACCAUCAUGAUUCAUGGACACUUUGAAAUUGGGAGGAUAAAGGAUGCUAUGCGUUAUUUCAGGGAAAUGACGUCUAAGGGGAUGGUGCUGGAACCGAAAACGGAGAAAUUAGUUAUUUCCAUGAAUGGUCAGUUGAAUGAGAGAAGAGGAAAACAAGAAGGAACUGAUGUUGAGGCAUCUAAUGUUUGA